Molecule: long non-coding RNA, 832 nt
Organism: Callithrix jacchus (white-tufted-ear marmoset)
Lineage: Eukaryota; Metazoa; Chordata; Mammalia; Primates; Cebidae
Source: Ensembl
UAGGGGCCACAGCCAUUUACUUCAUUUUUGGAGAUGACAUUUAACUCAAAAAUCCCUGGAAGAAGUAGUAAAGUCACUCGGAUUUAUAUGAAGAUUUAAGAAGUUUGAAAGAGGGUUCCAUGUUCUAUUCAUCAUCUAAUUUCCCACAGUGCUCACAAAACAACUUCAUGAAAAGAGCUGGAGUAAUGCAUAUAGCUUCAAGGAUGAAGACCACAGUCCCCAGCCUCCUUAUAACCAACCUGUCUGUUCAAAUCCAUUCUCUUCAAGAAAAUAAGAACAAUAUUUAUGUGUGCAGCUUCCAGGUCAGUUACAAUUUAUAACAAAAGUGAAAUCUCGUGUUUGGGACUGCUGCUUUCUUUAGACUGGAAAGCAGAUUUUAGCAGUGACGUAAUUUUGGUCAUGAAGAUAAGUGCAAUGUCUUAUUAGUUGAUAGUGAACAAGAUGGAGAAAACCCCCCUUCCUAAAAGUUCUCACGAGGCAGGAUUACCCUGUUAAUUGUGCUGUUCCUGAUUUAGAAAUGAACUUCUAUCAUAUUUAAGCCACUUAUUGUAUUUUGGGAUUUUCUUCAUUAGAGCAACUUAGCCUCUAUCCCAAUAGACAAUUUUUUAUCCAUCAGUUCCACUCAUAGAAAUAUAACCUAAAUAAAUAAACAUAUUGAAAAGGAGAGUGCUCAUGAAUACUUUUCUUUCUUUGCCCCAAAGGAAAAAUAAAAAAAACUUUCAUAAAUUAAAAUAAAUAAACUUUGUAAUUUUGAAGAGGUGCCUACUCCACACACAAAUGAGACUAUCACAGCUCUGAAUUCUUAAGGAAAUUUGAAAGAUUUUAUCAUGUC